RNAcentral lists this ribosomal RNA (478 nucleotides) under Batrachoseps bramei (Fairview slender salamander). RNAcentral describes it as "partial 16S ribosomal RNA". It matches the Rfam family "Bacterial large subunit ribosomal RNA", at positions 1854 to 2571 of the family's 2925-position model. The record is from RNAcentral. Lineage: Eukaryota; Metazoa; Chordata; Amphibia; Caudata; Plethodontidae.
ACUGCCUGCCCAGUGACACCUGUUCAACGGCCGCGGUAUUAUGACCGUGCAAAGGUAGCGUAAUCACUUGUCUUUUAAAUAAAGACCGGUAUGAAUGGCAAAACGAAAACUCAACUGUCUCCUCAGACAAGUCAGUGAAAUUGAUUUCCCCGUGAAGAAGCAGGGAUAAUAAUAUAAGACGAGAAGACCCUAUGGAGCUUUAAACCUAAAGCUACCCACACCCUUAAAACUUUAAAAAAUGGAAUUAGCUACAGGUUUUGGGUUGGGGCGACCGCGGAGUAAAAAUUAACCUCCGAGAAAAAAUUAAGAAGAACACUUCAAAAAUAAUAAUGUUACACAUUUGACCCAACAAUUGAUCAACGAACCAAGUUACCCUAGGGAUAACAGCGCAAUCCUCUCAGAGAGUCCUUAUCGACGAGAGGGUUUACGACCUCGAUGUUGGAUCAGGACCCCCAAAUAGUGCAAAAGCUAUUAAAGG